Long non-coding RNA from Sebastes umbrosus (honeycomb rockfish), 162 nucleotides. RefSeq lists it as uncharacterized. The record is from RefSeq and is a predicted model, not a curated record. NCBI's taxonomy places the organism in Eukaryota, Metazoa, Chordata, Actinopteri, Perciformes, Sebastidae. The transcript has 4 exons.
GGUCUUAUUGAACAUUUUUAUGUAGACGAAUAUUUAAAAAAAUAAAUAAUACAUUUACAGAGCCUUUAGAAAGGUGCUUAAUAAAAAUAUGGCUUUUCUUGCAAAAAAAUAUUAUGAUUGUGAAUUAAUCAUUUUAAAAAUGAAUUAGUUGUUUAUAUCUGA